RNAcentral lists this ribosomal RNA (303 nucleotides) under uncultured archaeon. Its description in RNAcentral is "bacterial SSU rRNA". It matches the Rfam family "Archaeal small subunit ribosomal RNA", at positions 1056 to 1357 of the family's 1478-position model. The record is from RNAcentral.
GCCUCUAGUUGCUACCAUUAUUCUCAGGAGUAGUGGAGCUAAUUAGAGGGACCGCCGUCGCUGAGACGGAGGAAGGUGGGGGCUACGGCAGGUCAGUAUGCCCCGAAACCCUCGGGCCACACGCGGGCUGCAAUGGUAAGGACAAUGAGUUUCGAUUCCGAAAGGAGGAGGCAAUCUCUAAACCUUACCACAGUUAUGAUUGAGGGCUGAAACUCGCCCUCAUGAAUAUGGAAUCCCUAGUAACCGCGUGUCACUAUCGCGCGGUGAAUACGUCCCUGCUCCUUGCACACACCGCCCGUAAUC